This 345-nucleotide unclassified non-coding RNA is filed under the name soil metagenome. RNAcentral's name for it is "partial contains 5.8S ribosomal RNA, internal transcribed spacer 2, and large subunit ribosomal RNA". The stretch from base 1 to 120 matches the Rfam family "5.8S ribosomal RNA", at positions 35 to 154 of the family's 154-position model. The record is from RNAcentral.
GAUGAAGAACGCAGCGAAAUGCGAUACGUAAUGUGAAUUGCAGAAUUCAGUGAAUCAUCGAGUCUUUGAACGCACAUUGCGCCCCCUGGUAUUCCGGGGGGCAUGCCUGUCCGAGCGUCAUUGCUGCCCUCAAGCACGGCUUGUGUGUUGGGCCUCCGUCCUCCUCCCGGGGGGCGGGCCCGAAAGGCAGCGGCGGCACCGCGUCCGGUCCUCGAGCGUAUGGGGCUUCGUCACCCGCUCUUGUAGGCCCGGCCGGCGCUUGCCGACACAUCAAUCUUUUUUCCAGGUUGACCUCGGAUCAGGUAGGGAUACCCGCUGAACUUAAGCAUAUCAAUGAGCGGAGGA